GAGAAGCUUGCUUUUCUGAUGACGACCGGCGCACGGGUGAGUAACGCGUAUGCAACCUACCUCUUACUGAAGGAUAGCCCGGAGAAAUCCGGAUUAAUACUUCAUAGUAUGUAUCAUUCGCAUGUUUGAUACAUUAAAGGUUACGGUAAGAGAUGGGCAUGCGUCCUAUUAGCUAGAUGGUAAGGUAACGGCUUACCAUGGCUACGAUAGGUAGGGGGCCUGAGAGGGUGACCCCCCACACUGGUACUGAGACACGGACCAGACUCCUACGGGAGGCAGCAGUGAGGAAUAUUGGACAAUGGGCGCAAGCCUGGUCCAGCCAUGCCGCGUGCAGGAAGAAUGCCCUAUGGGUUGUAAACUGCUUUUAUUUGGGAAUAAACCCCUCUACGUGUAGAGGGCUGAAUGUACCAAACGAAUAAGCACCGGCUAACUCCGUGCCAGCAGCCGCGGUAAUACGGAGGGUGCAAGCGUUAUCCGGAAUCAUUGGGUUUAAAGGGUCCGCUGGCGGAAUUAUAAGUCAGUGGUGAAAUCCCGUAGCUUAACUACGGAACUGCCAUUGAUACUGUAGUUCUUGAAUUCGGUCGAAGUGGGCGGAAUAUGUCAUGUAGCGGUGAAAUGCAUAGAUAUGACAUAGAACACCUAUAGCGAAGGCAGCUCACUAGGCCUGAAUUGACGCUCA
Molecule: ribosomal RNA, 679 nt
Filed under: uncultured Bacteroidota bacterium
Lineage: Bacteria; Pseudomonadati; Bacteroidota
Description: bacterial SSU rRNA
Rfam family: Bacterial small subunit ribosomal RNA
Source: RNAcentral